UGGGGAAUCUUAGACAAUGGGCGCAAGCCUGAUCUAGCCAUGCCGCGUGAUCGAUGAAGGCCUUAGGGUUGUAAAGAUCUUUCGUGGGGGAAGAUAAUGACUGUACCCCAAGAAGAAGCCCCGGCUAACUCCGUGCCAGCAGCCGCGGUAAUACGGAGGGGGCUAGCGUUAUUCGGAAUUACUGGGCGUAAAGCGCACGUAGGCGGACCAGAAAGUUGGAGGUGAAAUCCCAGGGCUCAACCUUGGAACUGCCUUCAAAACUCCUGGUCUUGAGUUCGAGAGAGGUGAGUGGAAUUCCGAGUGUAGAGGUGAAAUUCGUAGAUAUUCGGAGGAACACCAGUGGCGAAGGCGGCUCACUGGCUCGAUACUGACGCUGAGGUGCGAAAGCGUGGGGAGCAAACAGG
Molecule: ribosomal RNA, 404 nt
Filed under: uncultured prokaryote
Also listed under: 1 other name
Description: bacterial SSU rRNA
Rfam family: Bacterial small subunit ribosomal RNA
Source: RNAcentral